Molecule: small nucleolar RNA, 134 nt
Organism: Mastomys coucha (southern multimammate mouse)
Lineage: Eukaryota; Metazoa; Chordata; Mammalia; Rodentia; Muridae
Product: small nucleolar RNA SNORA70
Exons: 1
Source: RefSeq, a predicted model, not a curated record
UUGCAGCCAAUUAAGCCUACCAGCUUUCUUUCCUGGUGGAUCCUGGUGUGCAAUGGCUACAUGAAGUAGCCUCCUGGGUAGUAUAUGCUGCCAUUUUCUUAUAUAAGUUGCUCUACUGGACCCAGGAGGUUAAA